This 1146-nucleotide long non-coding RNA is filed under the name Homo sapiens (human). RNAcentral describes it as "non-protein coding lnc-KIF14-1:2". The record is from RNAcentral. Lineage: Eukaryota; Metazoa; Chordata; Mammalia; Primates; Hominidae.
GGUUCUGUCUGCGCUGUUACGUAUUACCUACACUUCUGGGUUUUUUUGUUCUUGUUCUCAGCCUCUCUUUAAGAGUUCUUGGGCCUUCCUUUUCCCUCUUUCUAUUUUAACAGUUUUAAUUUUAGAACCAUUUACAUUCCAGUAGGUAAUUCACUAUGCGCUUUAUAUGCCUUAGGGCAUCCAAAUAAAAAACAAUAGGGUAAACAUCCCCAAAACCCACCUUUAAAAAAAAAAAAACCCAUACAGAUUUCCAUAUGUAAUAAAACCCCGUGUUCUUGGAUAGAUAUUAAUAAGGUUGUAAUUCCAACUGGUGACAUAACUCCUGUGAGGGAUAAGAAUGUGUCUGCUUAUAGUAAUAACAUCAGAACCUCUUUGUGAAAUUGCGGCCUUUAAUGUACAUUUUAAUGAAAGGGUGCAUUAGUAUUGUACAGGGGUCUUGUAAAGUCAUCAAAACUUGCUAUGAACUCUAAUUGCCAUUUGAAGCUACUGAUUGGCAGUGGCUCUACUCUAAAACUGCUUUUUAGCAAUUGUAUUUUUUUCCUGAUUAUAUUUUUUAAUGUACUUUGAUGUUUAUGCUGAUGAGUUUUUUAUGUACUUUUGGUGAUGUUUCAGUCUUAUGUACUCUUCUGACGUCAGAAAAGUACCACUGGUUGUUUGCAGUCUUAUUGUGUAAUCAGCCUACCGCAGGCUUCCAUGUAUAAUAAAGUAAUUAAUAUUGUGCAAGUGUAAAACACUUCUGUUAUAAAAGCAGUGUUUGGAAAAUAAGAAAUAUUAAAAAUGGUUACAAAGUAUUAGUUAAUUUCCUUUUCCCACUUUCCUCCCUUUAGCUUUAGCAGCUAAAGGGUCACCAACUUGUCAUUGCAAGAUUCUUAGAAAAUGUACUUAAUCUUAAAUACGCUGAGUACUAAAAAGUGUUUAUUUCUUAUUUCAGUAAGUGCGGUAAGUUCUAUUGAGUACAGAGUACAAGCUGUAAUCAAAGGAUGGAGAGGACCUUUACCACUGUAUCUCUUAAGCUGUAUGAUUUUUCUCCAGUUUGUUUUAUACAGGUUUUGAAUUUCUUUAACUUUUAUUGUGUGUACUGAAUACUGCAUAUGUAUUAUUCUGAUUGUUUGCUCUAGUUUACUACCAAUAAAAGUCCUGUUAAUC